GACGAACGCUGGCGGCGUGCUUAACACAUGCAAGUCGUACGGUAAGGCCCCUUCGGGGGUACACGAGUGGCGAACGGGUGAGUAACACGUGAGUAACCUGCCCACAACUUUGGGAUAACGCUAGGAAACUGGUGCUAAUACUGGAUAUGUGCUCCUGCUGCAUGGUGGGGGUUGGAAAGCUCCGGCGGUUGUGGAUGGACUCGCGGCCUAUCAGCUUGUUGGUGGGGUAGUGGCCUACCAAGGCGGCGACGGGUAGCCGGCCUGAGAGGGUGACCGGCCACAUUGGGACUGAGAUACGGCCCAGACUCCUACGGGAGGCAGCAGUGGGGAAUAUUGCACAAUGGGCGCAAGCCUGAUGCAGCAACGCCGCGUGCGGGAUGACGGCCUUCGGGUUGUAAACCGCUUUCAGCAGGGACGAAGCUUUUUGUGACGGUACCUGCAGAAGAAGCACCGGCUAACUACGUG
This 465-nucleotide ribosomal RNA is filed under the name uncultured bacterium. RNAcentral's name for it is "partial 16S ribosomal RNA". It matches the Rfam family "Bacterial small subunit ribosomal RNA", at positions 28 to 507 of the family's 1533-position model. The record is from RNAcentral.